AACACCGUACGCGUUGUUAGUAUUCGAGAAAGAUGCGCGCAUUCUACACGGUUCUCAUACUAGUGAUCUUCGUUAGCCUCGCCACGGGGUGGUCUUUCUCAAAUAUGACGACGUCCAUUAACAAGAUAAUACAGUCGGAAAAUAACAGGCAGCAAAUUUUUACCUCUAACAAGAAUGAUAAUACUACAUCGAGUAAACCGGAGAUUACAAUGCAGAGCAGGAUAAUAUUCGUACCUCGGAGAAGUAAAGUUCACUGUCAGCCGGGCCAACAGAUCGAUAGACGUGGCAAGUGUAGAACGGUGUGGUGAAUAAAUGCCAGAAAUAAUAAGCAAGAAUUUUCGUAAAUGAUUAGACAGCUAUCUAUGAACUAUGGCAUUCUCGAAAAGGAAGAAAAACAAGAAAAUUAUUCUGAAGAUCGGAAAUAAUCAACAGGGAUUAUAGAUUUAUAUGAGAGAUAUCUAAUUGAUUAACGAAAUAUAUAAGAUCGGCAUAAGACCGGAUUGUCAACUGUGGAAUUCCUUCGAAUUAAUUAAGAUAUGGAUUAAGAUCUAAUCAACAUAAUAUUUUGUCGCGCCAGAUUGCCUAUCGUCACAGAUUAAAAAUAAAUUUUGACUUUGUAUCAAGCGGAUACAAUUGAAACCAAAGUGAAAUAUGAAAUACCAAAAUCAUACAUUAUAUAAUAUAUUAAAUAUUAAUUAAAUAUUAAAAAUAUUUAAUAUAAUAUUAUAUAUUAAAAAUUAGUUAAUAUUUUAUUAUUCAAAUAGGUUAAAUUAAUUGAAUUUCUUUCUCUAACAAAAAUAAUUGAAAUUAGUUAUUAGCUUUUAACAUGUAUAAAGUAGAAUACCAUCGCAUAUAAUUGUUGUAAUAAGAUAUUUGAUACGAAUAAUUAAUAUUUGUAUACUAAAUAUGUAUCUAUAAAAUUGUCAUAUAUGUAUUAUGAAAGAUAGAAGAGAAAUGUACUAAUACAUUUAUAUCUUUUUCUUGUCACCCGUAUUCCCACUGACUCAUGAAUAAAGGUUAAUUCAUAUAAUGUGCAUAUAAAACUUCAAAUGCGAGGCGCGCAAUCAUUCUCAAUAAUUUAUCAUGUUACGGGAAGUGUCGGAUAAAAGCUCAUGCGUAAGCAAUCAGGGAAUGAUUUCAACCGCAAAUUAACGGUGCCAAAUGGAAGGAAACAGGAAACCGCACUUAUCGGAUCAAAGUAUAUAAACACUUGCGCUCCCAUUAUUAUUUGAGCCAGUCGUUAUUAACAUUUUAAUGUUGCAAGUGUCAGAAAUAGAGAAACGCGAGUUUAUUUAAUUUCAUUCAUCAUUUAUCUAAUUAAAAAUUAGAAACUAAUUGAAAGAUUAAAUAUUGUCCGCAAUAAUGGCGCCAGCGCAUUUGAUUCUACUAAUCCUUGUGUCAAUUAUGUUAUUAUUUUCGUGCAAGGGACAGCCAGUAACUUUUCCUAAAAGAAAUCAAUCAGAAACGAAACCGAAAUGUCCACCAGGCUAUAGGCCUGUACGCACUGGAGGAUGCAGGAAAAUUUUAAAACUUUGAAGUUAUACAACAUUUCUCUUUGCUAAAGAAUAAUGUGAGCAACAACGUGGGACAUAUUUUUUCAAAGAUACUAUUCAUACUGAGAAUAAUUACAAAAUGUUCAUCUUUUCUAUAAUGCAAAUACAUUUUAUGGCUUGGAAACAUAUAUUAAUAUGCAUUGCACAAAAAACCAUAUUAUAUUAAGAGAUUUUAAUAAUUAUCAUCUAUGAAAUGUAUGCAUUUAAAAUGUUUUUGAAACUCAUAUA
Linepithema humile (Argentine ant) is the source of this 1781-nucleotide long non-coding RNA. RefSeq lists it as uncharacterized. NCBI's taxonomy places the organism in Eukaryota, Metazoa, Arthropoda, Insecta, Hymenoptera, Formicidae. The record is from RefSeq and is a predicted model, not a curated record.